CCUACGGGUGGCUGCAGUGGGGAAUAUUGCACAAUGGGCGCAAGCCUGAUGCAGCCAUGCCGCGUGUGUGAAGAAGGCCUUCGGGUUGUAAAGCACUUUCAGCGGGGAGGAAGGCGGUGAGGUUAAUAACCUCAUCGAUUGACGUUACCCGCAGAAGAAGCACCGGCUAACUCCGUGCCAGCAGCCGCGGUAAUACGGAGGGUGCAAGCGUUAAUCGGAAUUACUGGGCGUAAAGCGCACGCAGGCGGUCUGUCAAGUCGGAUGUGAAAUCCCCGGGCUCAACCUGGGAACUGCAUUCGAAACUGGCAGGCUAGAGUCUUGUAGAGGGGGGUAGAAUUCCAGGUGUAGCGGUGAAAUGCGUAGAGAUCUGGAGGAAUACCGGUGGCGAAGGCGGCCCCCUGGACAAAGACUGACGCUCAGGUGCGAAAGCGUGGGGAGCAAACAGGGUUAGAUACCCGGGUAGUC
RNAcentral lists this ribosomal RNA (465 nucleotides) under uncultured Klebsiella sp. RNAcentral's name for it is "bacterial SSU rRNA". It matches the Rfam family "Bacterial small subunit ribosomal RNA", at positions 338 to 795 of the family's 1533-position model. Lineage: Bacteria; Pseudomonadati; Pseudomonadota; Gammaproteobacteria; Enterobacterales; Enterobacteriaceae. The record is from RNAcentral.